CAGUAGCCGCGGUAAUACAGAGGGUGCGAGCGUUAAUCGGAUUUACUGGGCGUAAAGCGUGCGUAGGCGGCUUCUUAAGUCGGAUGUGAAAUCCCUAAGCUUAACUUAGGAAUUGCAUUCGAUACUGGGAAGCUAGAGUAUGGGAGAGGAUGGUAGAAUUCCAGGUGUAGCGGUGAAAUGCGUAGAGAUCUGGAGGAAUACCGAUGGCGAAGGCAGCCAUCUGGCCUAAUACUGACGCUGAGGUACGAAAGCAUAAGGAGCAAACAGGAUUAGAUACCCCGGUAGUCCCUGUCUCUUAUAC
RNAcentral lists this ribosomal RNA (301 nucleotides) under uncultured bacterium. Its description in RNAcentral is "partial 16S ribosomal RNA". It matches the Rfam family "Bacterial small subunit ribosomal RNA", at positions 509 to 807 of the family's 1533-position model. The record is from RNAcentral.